This 21-nucleotide non-coding RNA is filed under the name Arabidopsis thaliana (thale cress). Lineage: Eukaryota; Viridiplantae; Streptophyta; Magnoliopsida; Brassicales; Brassicaceae. The record is from RNAcentral.
UGAGGUGAAGUUGGUGCGAGU